This is a long non-coding RNA of Salvia splendens (bonfire salvia), 1937 nucleotides long. RefSeq lists it as uncharacterized. The record is from RefSeq and is a predicted model, not a curated record. Lineage: Eukaryota; Viridiplantae; Streptophyta; Magnoliopsida; Lamiales; Lamiaceae. The transcript is spliced from 2 exons.
AGAAAAGGGAAAGAAAUUAGAGAUGGAAAAUGGGAAAAUUUUCCUCCAUUCUAGAACUUACGGGAGUUAUCUCUCCCUCAAUUUUUCAUCCACAGUCAGAAAGAGGGUACCGACUCCAUCGUCCCUUUCCCUUAUUCUUCUCAAAAACAAAAAUUCCUAAAGGAGGAACCUUAAUUCCUUUCUCACUCUCGUCGCCUCCUUUUCUCUGGUGAAAUCGCCGUCCUGUCGGAGCCCGCCGGCGACUCGUAUCAUCGGAGGCUUCGCCGUGCCGUCUGCUGCAGUCCCUCACUCCGUCGCUCUGUCGCUCGUCUCUUCGCGGCGAUUCAGCCCAUCGCGGCUUCUCUGGUUGAGGCAGAUGCCGUUAGGACCGUUUCACAGACCAGUGCCGCCGCUGCCCUUCGGUGUCGCCGCUGCACCAGAGAGUUUCCGCGGCUGCCUUCGCGGCUUCGCCGUCUCCGGUGGCCUCCGAGGCAGGUCCUCGGCCCUAAAGCAAAGUUUUCCUCCUAUUACUUAGCUCACUUUAUGGUUUUCAUGAUCGCAGUAGCUAUGUGAUAAUGGGGCUUUGGUGUUUGAAUUCUAAUGUGAGAGUUACUGCAGUUAUUUGCAUAUCUUUCUGGUUGUUCAAGUUCCUUUUGUUCUCGGUUCAGGCAAUCUUGAUUUCUAUGUGCAACCUGAUAGUUGAACAAUUGUUUUGUUGUUCUAAGUUUUUUUUUUUUUUUUAAAAUUAACUUCAUAUAUUUAUAUCAUAUAUAUGAAGGAGGAAAUUACAAAUCAACUCCUAUAACAAGGAGGAAAGAUAAAUUACGCCACCCAGGGUUCGAACUCGAGACCUCCAGGAUGGACGCGGUAUCCAGCACCCUUUACCGCUAGGCCAAGGGGCUUGGAUGUUUUGUUGUUCUAAGUUCUUGAUCCUAAGUUUCACUCCUUUAUCUGUUAUGAUGUGGGGUUCUAAAGCAUGCUCCUAUGUUCUUGAGCGAUACAUGUGAUGCAAAAGGGUGUUUCUGGGAUUACAUUUUUGUAGCAAUAUAGUUCUUAUGAUAUAUGUUGUGAGCUACUGUGGUGAAAGAAACAGAGGAUACAACUUUUGUGACAUGUUCUGGCAGAAUUUAUUCGACUGCAGUUAACCAAGUAAACGACCUCUUUUUCUUACCAAAUUUUAACUGAACCUACUUUUAUGUGUCUUCUGCAAUGUGACCAAAAUUUAGCUUAAUCCGAGUUCAAAUGAAUUUAUAGUGAUUUUUGUAAUGAGAUUGCCCCUGUUCUGCCAGGUUAGAAUAAAACAGACAUAAACCCUAAACAAAUUAGAAUUUGAAGUCCAAAGUUAAUACCCGUAAAAUAGACAGUCAUGGCUUUUAUUUUCAUCUGGUUACGUUGAUUUUCGACUUCGUUGUUGACCAGAAUGAUUUUUCAAAGUCGGUGCAUUUUCUGUAAAAUCUUGGGACAUGAUAAAACUUGAAAUGUUUAUUGUUUAAACUUAUUUUUGGACAAGUGUACGAAGAUAUGAUUCCUAAUGUGAAAUCUUGAAGGAGAAAUAGUUGUUUUUGACUAAUCUAAUGUCUUGUAGGAUAUAUGCAUAAAUAGUAGACAAGAAUUAUGAAAUUAAGUUAGAAAAUAAUGGUUAACAGUAUGAAUUUGAUACUUUAUAUGCGAAAGUGAAAUAUAUAUUGAAGGGUAAUUCUACCCCAGGAAAUAACAAGGACAAGGACAAGGAGCAGGAAUAAAGGGAUUCGUGUGUCAAGGGCGUUUUGGAUUUCGAGAUUAGAGGAUCAGACCUAGCUCUUUUAUUGUUCAGCUGCAGCCAGGUCACUAGCCAGUCUUUUGAGUUCGAGUAAUUAUUGGAUAUGUUAGUUGUGGCAUGUUUAGAAAGUGUAAUGUUGUUUGGACGUUCAUUUACUUCGUUAUCCAGGUUGUAUAAAUAUAUAUAGACUUUUGUGAAA